RNAcentral lists this ribosomal RNA (292 nucleotides) under uncultured Acidobacteriota bacterium. Its description in RNAcentral is "uncultured Acidobacteria bacterium partial 16S ribosomal RNA". The record is from RNAcentral. Lineage: Bacteria; Pseudomonadati; Acidobacteriota.
GGACUACACGGGUUUCUAAUCCUGUUUGCUACCCACGCUUUCGUGUCUCAGCGUCAGAAGUGGUCCAGAAAGCUGUCUACACCACAGGUGUUCCUCCUGAUAUCUACGCAUUUCACCGCUACACCAGGAAUUCCGCUUUCCUCUCCCACCCUCAAGCAUUCCAGUUUCCGCUGCACCCUCCCAGUUAAGCCGGGAGAUUUCACAACAGACUUGGAGCACCGCCUACACACUCUUUACGCCCAGUAAUUCCGAACAACGCUCGCUGCCUACGUAUUACCGCGGCUGCUGGCAC